GAUGAACGCUGGCGGCGUGCUUAAUACAUGCAAGUCGAACGGAGUAUGUAGCAAUACGUACUUAGUGGCGAACGGGUGAGUAACGCGUUGGUGACCUGCCUCGAAGAGAGGGAUAACAGUCCGAAAGGACUGCUAAUACCUCAUGUGAUCAUAGGGUUUAGAAGCCUGUGAUUAAAGGAGUAAUUCACUUCGAGAGGGACCUGCGUACCAUCAGCUAGUUGGUGAGGUAACGGCCCACCAAGGCGAUGACGGUUAGGGGACCUGAGAGGGUGGCCCCCCACAAUGGAACUGAAACACGGUCCAUACACCUACGGGUGGCAG
Molecule: ribosomal RNA, 321 nt
Filed under: uncultured Chloroflexota bacterium
Lineage: Bacteria; Bacillati; Chloroflexota
Description: bacterial SSU rRNA
Rfam family: Bacterial small subunit ribosomal RNA
Source: RNAcentral